CCGUAAACGAUGAAUACUAGGUGUAGGGGUUGUCAUGACCUCUGUGCCGCCGCUAACGCAUUAAGUAUUCCGCCUGGGGAAUACGGUCGCAAGAUUAAAACUCAAAGGAAUUGACGGGGGCCCGCACAAGCAGCGGAACAUGUGGUUUAAUUCCAAGCAACGCGAAAAACCUUACCUAGACUUGACAUCUCCUGAAUUACCCUGUAAUGGAGGAAGCCACUUCGGUGGCAGGAAGACAGGUGGUGCAUGGUUGUCGUCAGCUCGUGUCGUGAGAUGUUGGGUUAAGUCCCGCAACGAGCGCAACCCUUAUUGUUAGUUGCUACCAUUUAGUUGAGCACUCUAGCGAGACUGCCCGGGUUAACCGGGAGGAA
RNAcentral lists this ribosomal RNA (371 nucleotides) under Clostridium butyricum. Its description in RNAcentral is "bacterial SSU rRNA". It matches the Rfam family "Bacterial small subunit ribosomal RNA", at positions 800 to 1171 of the family's 1533-position model. Lineage: Bacteria; Bacillati; Bacillota; Clostridia; Eubacteriales; Clostridiaceae. The record is from RNAcentral.